Molecule: long non-coding RNA, 1879 nt
Organism: Alexandromys fortis (reed vole)
Lineage: Eukaryota; Metazoa; Chordata; Mammalia; Rodentia; Cricetidae
Exons: 3
Source: RefSeq, a predicted model, not a curated record
GUUGCUGUGGCAAGACAAAAGCAACUUAAAGAAGGAGGCUGGAGAGAUGGCUUAGUGACUAGUAGCAUACGUUGCUCUUCCAGAAACCCGAGUUCAGUUCCCAGCACUCAUGUCAGGCAGCUCACAGCUGCCGGCUACUUCCGCUCCAGGGGAUUUGGCAUCCUCUUCUAGCCUCUGAGGCUGCAUGUGCUAACCUGUACAUAUCAACACACAACAUGCCCAUAUUGAAAAAGAGGAUAAAAUAAACAUAAAUUUGAAAUAAAGAAGCAGGGAUUUACUUUGGUUCAUAGUGAAGGGUGUAACCCAUCACAGCGAUAUCAUGGUGGCAGAUAAUGAGGCAGCGGGUUACACUGCACUUGCAGUUGGGAAGCAGGAGGUGAGCAAUGCCCUCAGUUGCUUCCUCAUCACCCCCCUUCUUAUUCAGUCUGUGACUCCACCCUGAAUAUGGGUGUGUCUUUCUUUCUUAGUUAAAGUUCUCAGGAAGCACGCUCACAGACACACCCAGAAGUGAUCCCAAAAUUCACUCUAAUCCAAUGAAGACUGCCCAUCACAGAUAGUGGGUGGUUCUUCACUGGGCGUGUCAUGCUUAUUCUCCCGUAGGCUGUUUUGCAGGGCUGCUGUCUUGGGUACCACAAUAGGCACUGUUACAUGGAGCUGAACAGGCCCCAUGCCAUGGGAAACCUACCUGGAAAGAUGGUCUGAUAGGAGCAAGCACUCAUCUCUGAUGUGCUCCCUGGCCCACCCAGGCUAUCUGCUGGGUGGAGUUGCUUGUGAUGUCCCCAUGGUUUUAGCCCCAGGGAUUGGCCUAACUGGAUGGCAAGGGAAUGAAGAAAGGGCAGACAUAAGUACAGAAAAGCUGGGAUUAGGUGGACUGGACUCUGAUGGAGAAGUCACAGUACCUUGGAAUCAUAACGUAUUUAUUGUAUUGAAUAGGGAGGCAGAGUUAUUGCAUACAGCUGAACAAAGAGACAGAUUUAGUUCAUCCUGGUAGGAGCUGCUCUGUAGUGAGAAGUUUCCAGGCCAUAAACAUAGGGGUUGGGGAGAAAACUAAGGUGGACAUUUUCUGGAUACUCUAUUAACAUCCACACAUGGACCAGCAGAAGACUUUGCCACUUCUGUGGGCACUGGGGUCUUUGACAUAGCUGUCCCCAUGUCAACAGUGCACCCACUUAGUACUUCACUCAAUCACUAUGCCACAUAAAAGGCCAGACAAAAUGGUGUACAUCUCUAACCUUAGCACUUCCUCAGGGGAGAUAGGUGGAGAAGGCAGGAGAACAAUCUGGAUGCUCUCUACACAGCCACCCUGGAGUAAGAAGCUCAGCAGUGAAACAUCAAGAGAGACCCAUCCUCAACAAAGUGGAAGAUUGUCUGAGUGCUUUAGGGAAAGACAAAUGAUGGCUGUGGAUUGAUGUUAAUGAGAGAAGACUUUUUAGAAGACAUUUGGUGGAGAAUUUUUUGGAAGAUAAACAUGGAAUGAGCUGAAGAAGAGGUAAAGAUCUUCCCUGAAUAACAUCGCCAGUCCACAGGCUGACCAAACCGUAGAAGAACCUGGACUUCAGGUUGUGACCGGAUGGACAAAGGACCCAUCAUACACCUAGGUGCAGGUUUUGGAAUCACCUAGGAGACAUACUUCUGUGAGCGCGUCUCCAGAGAUGGUUAACUGAAAAGAGAAGCCCAGCCCUGAAUGCGGGCAUUGCGAUCUCAUGGAUCAGAGCACCAACCCAAAUGAAAAGCAGGGAGAAGGAAGGAGCCCGCUGAACACCGGCAUCCAUCUCUUUCUGUUUCCCGAUGAACUCUAUCUACAAAUGAGACGAACAUACACCCUUCUUCCUUAGUUUGUGGGUUUUUUUUUUUUUUUUUUUUUUUUUUUUUUUUUUUU